Molecule: long non-coding RNA, 2757 nt
Organism: Mytilus californianus (California mussel)
Lineage: Eukaryota; Metazoa; Mollusca; Bivalvia; Mytilida; Mytilidae
Exons: 2
Source: RefSeq, a predicted model, not a curated record
CAAACAUUUUGUGUAUUAAUUAGUUGUGUAAAGGUGCAGGUAAUUCAAAGUUUUGUACACGUAUACAUAUAUAUACAUGAUACUGUGAUAACUAAACAUGGAAAAGAACAAACUCAGGCCUAGGAAAGAACUUGAAGAGGCCUUACGACGAAUAAAUGACUCUUUUGAUUUCAAAAAUGGACACUUAGAAUUAUCCUCCGAUGAACGUAACAGCAGUCUUGUAACAUUCCUCAAAGAACAUUUUUACACUGAUGAAGCUUUAGGUAAAUCUUUAGGAGCAGAGUUUGAUGAAGAGAUAGCUGGAAUAUUCUCAGAAGUUUUUCGUGAAAAUCUGUCUGUUUUACUGAUAUCAGAUUCAACCGGAGAAAUAAUAGCCUGUAGGUCAAUGUGUUUAGCCAAGAAAGGCGAAAAGGCAGAUUGGUCAAAAUCCAAAAAUAGAAAAUGGGUUACAAUAAUGGACUUUUUGGGGCAUAGAUAUGAUGCAAUGGACGUAUUUAAACGAUAUAACGCAGACAUAGCAGUGUCCUUUUUUGCUCUGGCAACCCAUAGAGAUCACCGAGCACAGGGAAUAGCUUCUAAAUUAAUGAAAGCCACUCUACUAUUUUGUAAAGAACUAGGGUUAAGUCCAGUUUUCAUAAAAGGUGAAGGCACUUCAAUUUAUUCCCAGAAAAUUUAUGAAAAAUUUGGAUUUGAGACCAUUCACACCUUACCAUACGAUGAAUACAAAAUUGACGGAGAAAUCGUGUUUAAAAAUACGGGUGAAAACAAGUCAACUAAAUGUUAUGUAAAGCAACUUUGAUGUUGUUAAGUUGGACCAAUUUUUAUACGACCGCAAAAAUUAAAAAUUUUUUGGUCGUAUAUUGGUAUGACGUUGGCGUCGUCGUCGUCGUCGUCGUCGUCGUCCAGCGUCGUCCGGCGUCGUCCGAAGACACAUGGGUUUUCGCACUGUAACUUUAGUUUAAGUGAAUGGAUCUCCAUGAAAUUUCACCAUAAGGUACAAUACCACGAAAGGAAGGUUGGGAUUGAUUUUGGGGGUUAUGGUACCAACAGUUAAGGAAUUAGGGGCCAAAAAGGGGCCAAAAAUAAGCAUUUUUGUAACUUUCAGACAAUAACUUGUGUGUAAGUGUAUGGAUCUCUCUGACAUUGUACCACAAGGUUCCAUAUCACAAAGGGAAGGCUGUAAUUGAUUUUGGGGGUAAUUGCCUCAAAAUUUUAGGAAUUAGGGGCUAAAAAAGGGCAAAAAACAAGCAUUUUUCUAGUUUCAUGACAAUAACUUGUGUGUAAGUGUUUGGAUAUUUCUGAAAUUGUACUACAAGGUUCCAUAUCACAAAGGGAAAGCUGGAAUUGAGUUUGGGGGUAAUUGCCCGAAACGUUUAGGAAUUGGGGGCCAAAAAGGGGCCAAAAAUAAGCAUUUUUCUAGUUUCCAGACAAUAACUUGUGUUCAAGUGUAUGGAUCUCUCUGAAAUUGUACUGCAAGGUACCAUACCACAAAGGGAAGGCUGGGAUAGAGUUUGGGGGUGAUGAAUCAUAAGGGGGUUCAAAAAAUUUGGGGGGGGGGGGGAUUUUUUUUUUUUUUUUUUUCUUUUUUUCCUUUUUUUUUUUUUUUUAAAUUUUCCAUUUUAAGUUGGUUAUUUCUGAUUUAUAUUUAAAAGCAAAUAAUAAUGAUAUGGUAGGAGAUACACACCAAACAGGAUGUGUAAAUUAUUAUAUAAUAAGUAUUGUGCAAUAGCAAGAAAUUUUCAAUUGCACAGUAUUGCACAAUAGCAAGAAAUCUUCAAUUGCACAGUAUUGCGCAAUAGCAAGAAAUCUUCAAUUGCAGAGUAUUGCGCAAUAGCAAGAAAUAUCCAAUAGCACAAUAUUGCACAAUAGCAAGAAAUUGUCAAUUGUACAGUAUUGCGCAAUAGCAAGAAAUAUUCAAUUGCACAGUAUUGUGCAAAAGAAGAUACUUCGUAUAAAUUGCUUAUUUCUUGAUCAAUUUCAAUGGGGUUUUAUUCUUGAAUUCUUGGGGUUCUUUAAUAUGCUGAAUCUAACCGUGUAUUAAGUUUUUGGAUUUUGGGCCCCGUUUUUAAAUUGGUCCACAUUGAGGUCCAAAGGGUCCAAAAUUUAACUUUGUUUGAUUUCAUUAAAAAUUGAAUUAUUGGGGUUCUUUGAUAUGCCGAAUCUAACCGUGUAUUUAGAUUUUUAAUUUUGGGUCCCGUUUUGUAAAUUUGUCUACAUUAAGGUCCAAAGGGUCCAAAAUUAAACUUAGUUUGAUUUUAACAAAAAAUGAAUUCUUCGGGUACUUUGAUAUGCUGAAUCUAAACAUGUGUUUAGAUUUUUGAUUAUGGGACCAGUUUUCAAGUUUGUCCAAGUUGGGGUCCAAAAUUAAACUUUGUUUGAUUUCAACAAAAAUUGAAUAUAUGGGGUUCUUUGAUAUGCUGAAUCUAACCAUGUAUUUUGAUUUUGGACAUUGGACCAUAAUAGGUAAAUUAAAAAAAUUGAAGUUCUUAGACCACAUUCUUUCUGUGUCAGAAACCUAUGCUGUGUCAAAUAUUUAAUCACAAUCCAAAUUCAGAGCUGUAUCAAGCUUGAAUGUUGUGUCCAUACUUGCCCCAACUGUUUAGGGUUCGACCUCUGCGGUCGUAUCAAGCUGCGCCCAGCGAAGCAUUUUAUUUAAUAUUCUGACGAAACUGUUAAUUUUUAGACGUACAUUGAUAUUUAUAAUUUUGAAGAGACAAUUUGCAUAUCCUAGAAUUAAAUAUAUAUAUAUAUAGCAUG